UACGGGGGGUGCAAGCGUUAAUCGGAAUCACUGGGCGUAAAGGGUGCGUAGGCGGGUAGGUAAGUCAGUGGUGAAAUCCUGGAGCUCAACUCCAGAACUGCCAUUGAUACUAUCUAUCUUGAAUAUUGUGGAGGUAAGCGGAAUAUGUCAUGUAGCGGUGAAAUGCUUAGAUAUGACAUAGAACACCCAUUGCGAAGGCAGCUUACUACGCAUAUAUUGACGCUGAGGCACGAAAGCGUGGGGAUCAAACAGGAUUAGAUACCCUGGUAGUCCACGCCCUAAACUAUGGAUACUCGACAUAUGCGAUACACUGUAUGCGUCUGAGCGAAAGCAUUAAGUAUCCCACCUGGGAAGUACGUUCGCAAGAAUGAAACUCAAAGGAAUUGGCGGGGGUCCGCACAAGCGGUGGAGUAUGUGGUUUAAUUCGAUGAUACGCGAGGAACCUUACCUGGGCUAGAAUGCUGGGAGACCGCUAGUGAAAGCUAGUUUUGUAGCAAUACACUGCCAGUAAGGUGCUGCAUGGCCGUCGUCAGCUCGUGCCGUGAGGUGUUGGGUUAAGUCCCGCAACGAGCGCAACCCCUAUCUUUAGUUGCCAACAGGUAAUGCUGGGAACUCUAAAGAAACUGCCGCCGUAAGGUGUGAGGAAGGAGGGGAUGAUGUCAGGUCAUCAUGGCCUUUAUGCCCAGGGCUACACACGUACUACAAUGGGGGAGACAAAGGGCUGCAACAUAGCGAUAUGAAGCCAAUCCCAAAAACUCCCUCUCAGUUCAGAUUGCAGGCUGCAACUCGCCUGCAUGAAGCUGGAAUCGCUAGUAAUCGUAUAUCAGCAAUGAUACGGUGAAUACGUUCCCGGACCU
This 857-nucleotide ribosomal RNA is filed under the name uncultured bacterium. RNAcentral describes it as "bacterial SSU rRNA". It matches the Rfam family "Bacterial small subunit ribosomal RNA", at positions 524 to 1381 of the family's 1533-position model. The record is from RNAcentral.